GUGCGGGGAGAUGUCAAACGUCCGCAUUUCUAAUGGGAGCCCUACUCUGGAGCGCAUGGAGGCCAGACAGUCGGAGUACCCGAAGCCGUCUGCGUGCAGGAACCUCUUCGGGCCGGUGAACCACGAAGAGCUCAACAGGGAGUUGAAGAAACACCUGCAGGAGAUGGAGGAGGCGUACCAGAGGAAGUGGAAUUUCGAUUUCCAGAAUCACAGGCCGCUGGAAGGCAGGUACGAGUGGCAAGCCGUGGAAAAAGGGAGCUCGCCCGACUUCUACUUCAGACCCCCCAGGCUACGGAAAGCCGUCUGCAAGUCCGCCGGCCGCCAGAGCUUGGAUGUAAACGGGAAUUGCCAAACGGUGGUUUUUGUCGGUUCUCAGGGAAUCUCAGAGGACACUCACUGUGUAGCUCAAAAGACUGAUGUUUCAGAAAAUCAGACGGACUUAGCAGAGCAGUGCAUUGCCCAGAGGAAAAGACCCGCGGCCGACGAUUCCUCUCCUCAAAAUAAAAGAGCCAACACAACAGAAGAAGAGGUUUCAGAAGACUCCCCCAGUGCCAAUUCAGUGGAGCAAACACCCAAGAAAUCAACCCCGGGAAGACAUCAAACGUAAAGCGUUUAGGUCAGUUCCCUUUAGGGUAUGGCAUUAGGAUGCAAGUAAGGGAAAGAAGGGGCGACCGAGUGUCUAUCCCGCGUCUCUUAAGAGGUUGGGGAGGGGGCUUCGAGGCCCUGGGAAACGCCGAGGGGUGUUUUCUCCGAGGAAGGGUGGCUUUCCCCGAGCGCUCGGGAAUGGGUGUGUGUUGGAGGGUGGGGAGUGGGAGGCGCAGGGCUUGAAAAGAACAAAACAAGGAGAGAAGCCCAGCCUGGGCUCGGCAGCGUCAGGGGGCUGGGGCAAGGGCUGCAGUGGGACUGACCCUGCCUUCCUGCGGUAUGGGCACCGGGGCCAGGGAGAGCCCUUUCCCAAGGACCGUUCGGGUGCAGGGACGGAGUUGGAAACGCGGCUGGUGCAUCAUGUCAGAUGCCAGGGGAUUUCGGGGGGCUUCACCUGUCCGCCGCCCUCGGGGCUUUUUCAUCUCCAGUGUCAGCCUUGCCGUUGCAUGUCGCGGCCACCUUCCACUGCGGGAGAAAUAAGUCAAGAAGUUGAGUUUAAGGGGAAUCCGGGCACUUUCUCAAAAUUCGAGCAAUGCAAGAACGGAGGAUGUGCGCGUCCUCAUUCGUCGACUGCGGUGGGCGGCGAUGAAGCGAGGAAGAUGUAAAGUUGUAGUGGGAAAGGAAAAAAAAUACAUAUCGCCGAUCUCCGGGGUAUGGAGGUCCUGUACAAGCACUGAAAAAACAAAAAAACGAAAAACAA
Poecile atricapillus (Black-capped chickadee) is the source of this 1345-nucleotide RNA transcript. It is a transcript of the gene named cyclin-dependent kinase inhibitor 1B-like, with no coding region annotated. The transcript is spliced from 3 exons. NCBI's taxonomy places the organism in Eukaryota, Metazoa, Chordata, Aves, Passeriformes, Paridae. The record is from RefSeq and is a predicted model, not a curated record.